CGGGCGCGGUGCACGGUGCACAGCGGCUAUCAUUUCAUUGCAGGAAAUAAUGCAAGCCGCAGACCGGGGUUCAAUUCCCCGCGCCCGA
Mycena rosella is the source of this 88-nucleotide non-coding RNA. The record is from the annotation of a GenBank genome assembly. NCBI's taxonomy places the organism in Eukaryota, Fungi, Basidiomycota, Agaricomycetes, Agaricales, Mycenaceae.